Molecule: ribosomal RNA, 326 nt
Filed under: uncultured eukaryote
Lineage: Eukaryota
Description: partial 18S ribosomal RNA
Rfam family: Eukaryotic small subunit ribosomal RNA
Source: RNAcentral
CCCUUAGAUGUUCUGGGCCGCACGCGCGCUACACUGACGAGUUCAACGAGUCCAUCCUUGGCCGAGAGGUCCGGGUAAUCUGCGAAAUCUCGUCGUGAUGGGGCUAGAUGAUUGCAAUUAUUCAUCUUCAACGAGGAAUUCCUAGUAAGCGCAGAUCAUCAGUCUGCGUUGAUUACGUCCCUGCCCUUUGUACACACCGCCCGUCGCUCCUACCGAUUGAAUGGUCCGGUGAAGCGUUCGGAUGAGAGGGAUGUUGCGGGCAACUGCGGCGCCUCACUCAGAAGUUCGUUAAACCUUAUCAUUUAGAGGAAGGAGAAGUCGUAACA